Molecule: long non-coding RNA, 584 nt
Organism: Hibiscus syriacus
Lineage: Eukaryota; Viridiplantae; Streptophyta; Magnoliopsida; Malvales; Malvaceae
Exons: 3
Source: RefSeq, a predicted model, not a curated record
UCCACUAACCGCUCAUUUCACUAUUACAGAACCAAAACUCGCCCAGUUGUCAGCCUGCAGCUUCUCUGCAAACCUUAAUAGCAGAUCCCAGCAAGACUUACUUUACCUUAUUCAAUCGCCAUGCAUUCUGCCACUCGAAGAAGAAGUCAAGGAGGCCUCUACAGAGUCAUCAUGCGCCGUAACUCUGUAUACGUCACCUUCGUCAUCGCCGGCGCUUUUCUCGGAGAACGAGCUGUAGAUUAUGGAGUUCAUAGGCUCUGGGAAUACAACAAUGUUGGGACGAUAUGAGGACAUUCCGGUGCUGGGACAGAGGCAAUCAGAGGAAUGAAAUCGCCAUGCCCCUUUCUGGAUGUUUUGAAUUUGUUAUCGAGGACUGGUAUAAUGGAUUUGUUUCUUAACCAUGAGUUGAUUGAAGCAUCAUUCGGGAUUUUCAAUUAAUCAGAUUUGUUAAUGGCAGCAUCUAAAUGACCGAACCCACUUUGUCAUCAUAGUUGCAGUUGGGGCAAGGAUAAGGUUCUGUUUGUGAUUUGAUUGUCAAUGUUUAUGAUAACAGGAUGACUGAUAUUUGAGGGGGUAAAAACCAG